Molecule: ribosomal RNA, 121 nt
Organism: Anneissia japonica
Lineage: Eukaryota; Metazoa; Echinodermata; Crinoidea; Comatulida; Comatulidae
Source: RefSeq, a predicted model, not a curated record
GCCUACGGCCAUACUUUUUUUUGAAAACACCGGUUCUCGUCCGAUCACCGAAGUUAAGCAACGUCAGGCCUGGUUAGUACUUGGAUGGGAGACCGCUUGGGAAUACCGGGUGCUGUAGACA